UUAAAAUUUUGACAAAAACCCUAUCUUAAACCCUAGAUCCUCCUUCAAUUUACUGUACUUCUGUCUCUGUUAUGUGAGAAGGAAAAGAAAGCAGCGGCAACCUCAACCUACAAAGAAAAUGCAGUUCCUCUUACGGUAUCUCCCCAAACAUUGCCGCCUCCGCCGCCCUCACCACCGUGGCUUCGUCGACUUUGCUGCGAUCAAACAUCUACGCGACCGGGGCCUCGACCAUGCAGUACAGAGAGAAAAGCAUCUGAAGCCCAUGCUGAACAUCAAGAACCUCAUAAAAUCAGAGCCAGCAAAAUCCCUCCCUCUAUCCGUCAUUACUCAGCACAAGGACUCCCUCGAUAUCCCAAGUCGCCCUAUUGAAUUCAUCCGAAAAUACCCUUCAAUCUUCGAAGAAUUUCUCCCUGGGGGAAUAGGUGUUCAUCCCCACAUCAAGCUCACGCAACAGGUACUUGAUCUUGAUGCUGAAGAGCAGUUAGUUUACCAGAGUGAGAGUUAUAGGCAGGAUAUUGCUGAUAGACUCUUAAAAUUGUUAAUGAUUUCGAGAAUUAAUAAAAUACCACUGAAGAUUCUGGAUGAUAUAAAAUGGGAUUUGGGUUUACCUGAAGAUUAUACCAAGAGUAUUGUUCCUGAGUUCCCCGACUGUUUUCGAGUUAUUGCUAAUGAAAAUUUGUCAUCUGGGUUGGAUUCAGAUUUGGAAUUGGAGCUAGUUUGUUGGAGUAAUGAAUUGGCUAUUUCGUUCAUAGAAAAGAAGGCAACGAGAGGGAAAAUGGACUACAAAAAGGGGAUGCCUAUUGCUUUCCCUAUGCAUUUUUCAAAGGGUUUUGAGAUGGAUAAGCAGUUGAAGAAAUGGUUUGACGAUUGGCAAAAGUUGCCUUAUAUUUCUCCAUAUGAGAAUGCAACCCACCUUGGGCCUAGUACUGAUGAAUCUGACAAGUGGACAGUGGGGGUUCUGCACGAGAUUUUCCGUCUUUUUGUUUCAAAGAAGGUGGAGAAGGACGCUUUAUUGUGUCUGGGAGAGUGGUUGGGGAUCCGGUCAAGGUUAAAGAGAGCAUUGCUUCACCAUCCAGGGAUAUUUUACUUGUCUAGUAAAUUGGGAACUUAUACCGUGGUUUUAAGGGAGGCCUAUAAGAGGGGAUUGUUAAUAGAGAAGAAUCCACUGAUUAGUAUUAGGAGUAGGUAUAUUCAUCUCAUGAACAUUGUAACUGAGGAUCGAAAAGCAAUUGGUGUGCCUGGUGGAAGUACACAAGGGAAGAAGCCGGUCCCUGAUUCUGAAGAACAAAGAGAAAAAGGUGAUUGUCAGGGUAGUCUGGAGAUGAAUGAUAUGGAUUCUGAUUUUGAGAAUGAUGAUGACUACAAAUAUGAUGAUGAUGAGGAGGAGGAGGAAGAAGAAGAAGAAGGCGAAAGUAAGUCACGUGCUCGUAGAAAUGCCCCAACUAGCGGUUCAAAAGCAAAUAAGAAGAAUUUGAAUGCAAGAGGGUCUUCUACGAAUGCUGGAACUGGAAGACAUAGGCUGGUUCAAAAACACCAUGGCAUGGCCAAAGACAAAGUGCAACUAAAAGAUCCUAAUAGAGAUAGGUUGAAUUCCUCUAAGAGCAAGAGGAAAUUAUUUACAGAAAGGAGGACAGCUACUUAAAUGAAGACUUAGUUUGUCUGUUGAAACCAAAAAUGGGCAGUGAUGCUGCAGAGAUGGUACAUUACAUUGAUCGCAAUUAUUUAUGACCAUCAAACACUUGUCAUACUCUUUGAUACGCCAGAGUACAAUGGCUUACAGUUAGCAACUCUCAAGAAUGCAUUGCUGAUGAUUGUUGAUCACAAAAUGAUGUGAUUGAUAAUUUGAAAAGAUCUUUCACUAUUCCUUGUCUCUUCUCCAAUCUUAAGGAAAUGCAUCAUGUUCUCAUGAUCUACAUUGCUCUGAUUUGAAGCUGCUAUUCAAAUUCUCUUUUCUGUAAGAUAUGCAAUUUGAUGGCUCUUAGACUGGAAGUUUCAAGUUAAAUGAAUGGAGAGGAAGUUUAUGUUGAUGUGCUGCAUUGAAACAUAGAUGUUAAAAUAGGGUUCUGGGAAGUAUUUUGAAUUGGAGAUGAGAAAAUAAAGAUUUAUGCAUAGUUGGGAAUGCCUAUGGUGAUUAAUAUUUUGUGGCAUAGAUUCUAUGAUACUGGGCUUGAUAAUCUACCAUACUUCAUGAGAUGGUGUCUGAGCAGUUGGCACUUGAAGGCCGUGUGGCCAAGUGGAUAUAUAUUUUGUGUCGCUAAGUGGAUAAAUAUUUUGUGUCGUAUGAUCAACUGCUUACCAGAUUGCUUCUAGGAUAAUAUUAUUUAAAGAGAAGGGGGGAGAAGUGGGAGAGGGGGUUGGGGGGAGACGAAUGUUGAAAGAUUAUAUGUACUUUGUGACCACAUAAUAUUGGCCACUUACUGUAUCAACUCAGUGACGACAAAGUUGUUAGCAUUGUUAUCAAAGGCCCGCCUGAGGCACAAGGCGUACCGGGUGCAGCUCAUAGCGCCUGAGGAACCCAAAAGCGCACGACUUGCAGGAGGCGCGCCCAAGCGCACCAAGGUGCUAGGCGCUCCUAGCCAUUCACACCCAUGCAAUCACAGAAAGCAAACUGAAAAAAGAAAAAGGAGAAGAAGAAAAAGAAGAAGAAGAAGAUCUGAAAAACCUAACUUGAUUUUAUCCUCUCCUAGGCUCGAGCUUAUCUAAUUUCUUAUCUGAACUCCAGGUAUGCUUUCUCUUUUGUUCUUCCUGCUCCCCUCUCCCUCUCUCCACCAGAUCCAUUUUCACCCGACUGAUUUGGGUUUUCAUUUUCCUUUCUCUUCUAUGCUUUCUUUUCCUCCUUUUUUC
Hevea brasiliensis (rubber tree) is the source of this 2844-nucleotide RNA transcript. It is a transcript of the gene named protein WHAT'S THIS FACTOR 9, mitochondrial, with no coding region annotated. The transcript has 3 exons. NCBI's taxonomy places the organism in Eukaryota, Viridiplantae, Streptophyta, Magnoliopsida, Malpighiales, Euphorbiaceae. The record is from RefSeq and is a predicted model, not a curated record.